Molecule: transfer RNA, 92 nt
Filed under: Magnetospirillum sp. SS-4
Lineage: Bacteria; Pseudomonadati; Pseudomonadota; Alphaproteobacteria; Rhodospirillales; Rhodospirillaceae
Description: tRNA-Ser
Rfam family: tRNA
About the family: Transfer RNA (tRNA) molecules are approximately 80 nucleotides in length.
Source: RNAcentral
GGAGGGGUGGGUGAGUGGCUGAAACCAACGGUUUGCUAAAUCGUCGUAGGGCUUAAACCCUACCGCGGGUUCGAAUCCCGCCCCCUCCGCCA